UGCCGUCAAGCGGCCGUGCUCAGAGAACUUUUCUGUACUAAAAGGGAAACCAAAUUAUCCUAAAAAUAAGUUUGAAGCGUGCAGGUAUCUUUAUUUGAUGAGGUUAAACCCACUUUACUAAAGGGAUAUGUCUCUGUACGGAUACCAAUUUGCGUUUUUCGACCAGUAAUGAUAUUAGCUAAGAUCCACUAGCCAGGGCAAGAAGAAGCGAUGUAAAAAUCUUUCCUGCAACGUUAAACAGGUUUCAGUAAACCAAUGUUCACAAACAAACAAAUUAUAUUUUGUAACAAAGUUCGUUUAAAUUAAUUGAAUCUUCGGACUUGAAGCAAACAAUGUAAUAAAUUGAGAGCAGCGAACCUUAGGUAUACCUACUUAUGAAGUGACCUUUUCGAGUCGAUGUGGAUAAACUAAAAAUUGAAAUUAAAAUUAGAUCCUGAAGCAUGUAUUGGUGGCUGUUGUGUGUUUUCGAGAAAAUGAUUUGAUGACAUAUUCCAAUAUGAUAUGAUCAAAAAGUCUGAUAGUCAAAUGCGCUUUAUAAGUAGAUGGCGCUAGUGUGCAUAAAACAGCAUGAGGCAUGUAAAGACGUGAAAAAUAAGCAGAAAGCCUUGGUGAAGAUUUACUGUUGGAUCGUCAGCUUUCACAUGUCCGUAAUGCGAUAUCAUCUUACGAAGCUAGGACCAAUUUGCAGCGUGCAUUCGUGGACAAAGGACUUUGUCGUCGUCUGGGUUUGCUAAGUGUGUUAAGUGA
Plodia interpunctella (Indianmeal moth) is the source of this 747-nucleotide long non-coding RNA. RefSeq lists it as uncharacterized. The record is from RefSeq and is a predicted model, not a curated record. Lineage: Eukaryota; Metazoa; Arthropoda; Insecta; Lepidoptera; Pyralidae. The transcript has 4 exons.